UCCGGUUGAUCCUGCCGGACUGACUGCUAUCGGAGAUACUAAGCCAUGCGAGUCAUUGUAGCAAUACAAGGCAUACGGCUCAGUAACGCGUAGUCAACCUAACCUAUGGACGGGAAUAACCUCGGGAAACUGAGAAUAAUGCCCGAUAGAACAUUAUGCCUGGAAUGGUUUAUGUUCCAAAUGAUUUAUCGCCGUAGGAUGGGACUGCGGCCUAUCAGUUUGUUGGUGAGGUAAUGGCCCACCAAGACUAUUACAGGUACGGGCUCUGAGAGGAGUAGCCCGGAGAUGGGUACUGAGACACGGACCCAGGCCCUAUGGGGCGCAGCAGGCGAGAAAACUUUGCAAUGUGCGAAAGCACGACAAGGUUAAUCCGAGUGGUUUCUGCUAAAGGAACCUUUUGUCAGUCCUAGAAACACUGAUGAAUAAGGGGUGGGCAAGUUCUGGUGUCAGCCGCCGCGGUAAAACCAGCACCUCAAGUGGUCAGGAUGAUUAUCGGGCCUAAAGCAUCCGUAGCCGGCUCUGUAAGUUUUCGGUUCAAUCUGUCCGCUCAACGUACAGGCUGCCGGGAAUACUGCCAAGCUAGGGAGUGGCAGAGGUAGACAGUACCCGGCCACGACGGGGUA
This 623-nucleotide ribosomal RNA is filed under the name uncultured marine archaeon. RNAcentral's name for it is "bacterial SSU rRNA". It matches the Rfam family "Archaeal small subunit ribosomal RNA", at positions 1 to 635 of the family's 1478-position model. The record is from RNAcentral.